GACGAACGCUGGCGGCGUGCCUAAUACAUGCAAGUUGAGCGCUGAAGGUUGGUACUUGUACCAACUGGAUGAGCAGCGAACGGGUGAGUAACGCGUGGGGAAUCUGCCUUUGAGCGGGGGACAACAUUUGGAAACGAAUGCUAAUACCGCAUAAAAACUUUAAACACAAGUUUUAAGUUUGAAAGAUGCAAUUGCAUCACUCAAAGAUGAUCCCGCGUUGUAUUAGCUAGUUGGUGAGGUAAAGGCUCACCAAGGCGAUGAUACAUAGCCGACCUGAGAGGGUGAUCGGCCACAUUGGGACUGAGACACGGCCCAAACUCCUACAGGAGGCAGCAGUAGGGAAUCUUCGGCAAUGGACGAAAGUCUGACCGAGCAACGCCGCGUGAGUGAAGAAGGUUUUCGGAUCGUAAAACUCUGUUGGUAGAGAAGAACGUUGGUGAGAGUGGAAAGCUCAUCAAGUGACGGUAACUACCCAGAAAGGGACGGCUAACUACGUG
This 497-nucleotide ribosomal RNA is filed under the name uncultured bacterium. RNAcentral describes it as "partial 16S ribosomal RNA". It matches the Rfam family "Bacterial small subunit ribosomal RNA", at positions 28 to 507 of the family's 1533-position model. The record is from RNAcentral.